GUGCCAGCAGCCGCGGUAAUACGUAGGUGGCAAGCGUUGUCCGGAUUUACUGGGCGUAAAGGGCGUGCAGGCGGUCUGUUAAGUUCAGGGUGAAAGCUCCCGGCUCAACUGGGAGAGGUCCUUGGAUACUGGCAGACUUGAGGGAGGUAGAGGAGAGUGGAAUUCCCGGUGUAGUGGUGAUAUGCGUAGAUAUCGGGAGGAACACCAGUGGCGAAGGCGGCUCUCUGGGCCUUUCCUGACGCUGAGACGCGAAAGCGUGGGGAGCGAACCGGAUUAGAUACCCGGGUAGUCC
Molecule: ribosomal RNA, 292 nt
Filed under: uncultured bacterium
Lineage: Bacteria
Description: partial 16S ribosomal RNA
Rfam family: Bacterial small subunit ribosomal RNA
Source: RNAcentral